CAUCACCACGCACUGCACACUUUUUGCCAUUAUCUUCACUCUCAUUCAUACAUUUCAUACUCACACUUAACACUUGUUCUUCUAGUGUAUUUGAAUCGCAACACUCUAUUACGCUUCUAUUUUAUCUUAAUCGAUCUUCGAGUGGAUAUUCUCCCACUUUCACUCACUAUCAUCUUCUCUCUUUUAUUCUGCUAUGUUUUCUCAAUUUUCUUUCCUUACAAAGAUUAAGUGUUGCUGGUAAGGUGUUGUUCUUCGAUCCUUUUCCCUGUUUGUGGUAAGUAGAAGUCCUAAGGCAAGUUUCUAACUGCUUCGAUUGCCUUGUGUUCUCCUUGCUCACCAUGGUUGAACUCACCAAUCAUGCCUCCGGUGUUGCAGCUGUAAAUUUUUUAAAGGCUGUUUGUAGAUGGAAGUGUCUUAAGUUCUGCAAAAUAUUGUGGGGGGUUUGUACAGAAUACAUAGCUCCAUAAGUUUCCUCUAUGGCCUGUUCAACUCCAAUGCUGAAGUGGGCAACAACUAUAUCUUGUGUCAUCUUCACCUUAGACAUCCCCUCUUUGAGGUAUUUGGUAUGCUUAAUUCAGAUCUUGAUCUUUUUUAACCCUUCAGAACUAGUUUGUGACAUUUUCCACGUGGAAAAACAAUUUAGAACACCAUUUCCUCUCAGUUCACAUAAGUCAAAAGUUCUAUUUGACCUUGUGCAUGGUGAUGUUUGGGAUCCGUAUCACAUUCAAACCAGGUAUGGUUUCAAGUACUUUUUAACACUUGUAGAUAAUUUUUACGUGCUACUUGGGUCUUCUUCAUGGAGAGUAAGUCUGAAGUUUUUACGUGCCUGAAACAGUUUCUUUGAUUGAAAAUCAGUUUGAUAAAAUUAUCAAGAUUUUUAUGUCGACAAUAGAACAAAGUUUGUGAAUUCUCGUCUUGCUGAUCUGUUUGGUAAUUUUGGAAUAGUGCAUCAAACUUCAUGUACCUAUAGUCCUUAGAAAAGUAGUGUUGUUGAGCGUAAAUAUAGGCACAUUCUAAACGUUGCUAGAGCCCUCAUGUUUUAAAGCUGUUGUCCUGCCAAAAUUUGUGAGGAUUGUGUCCUUGCAGCUGUUUAUAUAAUAAAUAGGUUACCUACUCCUCUCCUUGAUAAACUGAGUCCCUUUCAAGUUAUCUAUAACUGAAAACCAGAUCUAAAAAGUUUAAAGGUCUUUGGAUGCCUUUGCUAUGUGACUAAUUUAAAUACUUCAGAUAAGUUCCAUCCAAAGGCGACUCAUUGUUUUAUUGGUUAUGCUGAGAAUAAAAAAGGUUGUAAGGUCCUUACCUUAAAACAUUCUCAAUCUUUUUCGUCUCAUUUGAAGUUACCUUCUAUGAGUUUGUGUUUCCCUUUUAUUCUAUUGGCUCCAUAACUGACUUACAUAUGCCCCUGCCUAAGUUUGGCCCUACCAAUAGCGUGUAUGAUGAUUUCUGUGACACUUGUGAAGGCAAUCGUGUGGCAACACUUCUGGAUGAUCUUCAAGAAUCUUGCUUGAAUCAACAACCGAGUAUUACCAAUGAUAGCAACACAAAUGCAGUUUGUGAACCCGAACACCUCACAUAAACAACCCAUGAGAUAUCUGAGGCACACCCUAACAUACGCUACUCUAAUAGAAAACAUUGUUCAACCUCUUACAAGAUCAGAUAUAACAUUUUCUGUAAAUUUAUUAGUAGAAUUUAGUGCAAUGUCAACACAACGAUAUUGGAAAGUAAUUACACAUAUUUUUUGUUAUCUCCAAGGAAUGAUGAGCUCGGUUAUUAUAUUUUAAGAACAUUCGACAUGAAUUGAUUGGAUAUACAUAUGAUGGAUAUCUUUCUGACCCACAUAAAGGCAAGUCUCAGACUGUACAAUGGUAUCUGGAUAUCCACUAAAAACAAACUUUAACCGCAACAUCUUUGAAUAUUCUGAAAUAAUAGCAAUACAUGAAGCUAGAUGAGAAUGUGUCUAGUUGAAAUCAAUGACUCACCACACUUUAAAAAAUUAUGGUUUGAAAUUUGAAAAUGAUGAUCCUUCUACUGUCUUAUACGAAAUGAAAACAAUACAACUUGCAUAACGCAACUUAUAUGAGGAUAUAUUAAAUGAGAUAGAAUGAAAAAUAUUUUACCAAAAAUUUUCUUUACUUAUAAUCUUCAGAAAAAUGGUGAAAUAGAUGUGAUGUAGAUUCGAUCCAAUGAUAAUUUUAGCAGAGCUAUUGCCUAUUUUAGCGUUAAAUUGUUUUUUUUU
Molecule: long non-coding RNA, 2236 nt
Organism: Andrographis paniculata
Lineage: Eukaryota; Viridiplantae; Streptophyta; Magnoliopsida; Lamiales; Acanthaceae
Exons: 3
Source: RefSeq, a predicted model, not a curated record